AACGAACGCUGGCGGCAGGCCUAACACAUGCAAGUCGAGCGAACCCUUCGGGGUUAGCGGCGGACGGGUUAGUAACGCGUGGGAAUAUACCCUUUGGUACGGAAUAGCCUCGGGAAACUGAGAAUAAUACCGUAUGUGCCCUUCGGGGAAAGAUUUAUCGCCAAAGGAUUAGCCCGCGUUGGAUUAGAUAGUUGGUGGGGUAAUGGCCUACCAAGUCUACGAUCCAUAGCUGGUUUGAGAGGAUGAUCAGCAACACUGGGACUGAGACACGGCCCAGACUCCUACGGGAGGCAGCAGUGGGGAAUCUUAGACAAUGGGCGCAAGCCUGAUCUAGCCAUGCCGCGUGGACGAUGAAGGCCUUAGGGUUGUAAAGUCCUUUCAGAUGGGAAGAUAAUGACGGUACCAUCAGAAGAAGCCCCGGCUAACUCCGUG
This 432-nucleotide ribosomal RNA is filed under the name uncultured bacterium. RNAcentral's name for it is "bacterial SSU rRNA". It matches the Rfam family "Bacterial small subunit ribosomal RNA", at positions 29 to 507 of the family's 1533-position model. The record is from RNAcentral.